Molecule: ribosomal RNA, 446 nt
Filed under: uncultured bacterium
Lineage: Bacteria
Description: bacterial SSU rRNA
Rfam family: Bacterial small subunit ribosomal RNA
Source: RNAcentral
ACGAACGCUGGCGGCACGCCUAACACAUGCAAGUCGAACGAAGCGUAAGAGCUUGCUCUUACGACUGAGUGGCAAACGGGUGAGUAACGCGUGGGAAUCUACCUAUUGGUGGGGGACAACUGUUGGAAACGACAGCUAAUACCGCAUAAGCCCUCAGGGGGAAAGGAGCAAUCCGCCAAUAGAUGAGCCCGCGUUAGAUUAGGUAGUUGGUGGGGUAAAGGCCCACCAAGCCUAUGAUCUAUAGCUGGUCUGAGAGGAUGGUCAGCCACACUGGGACUGAGACACGGCCCAGACUCCUACGGGAGGCAGCAGUGGGGAAUAUUGGACAAUGGGGGAAACCCUGAUCCAGCGAUGCCGCGUGAGUGAAGAAGGCCUUAGGGUUGUAAAGCUCUUUUAGUAGGGAAGAUUAUGACGGUACCUACAGAAAAAGCACCGGCUAACUCUGU